CUAGGCUCAGCCACCUGUGCUUGGAAGUGAACUCUGAGAAAGCAGGAAUGCAAAUAUUUAUUUUGGAAAAAUCUUGGAUUUACCCCUACUUCAAGUGUGGUCAGAAUACUAUGAUGACAGACUUCAUCUGAGAUGUAAGACAGGCAAGGCAGCACUUUGCCUUGGAACUCAGAAAUGGGCCAGUGAAACAAUACCAACCUCGGGGGUCCUGCCUUCAGAUGGUUGUGAUGUAUCCAGGCAGAAUGUCCGGCUACCUUCACUGCCCAAGGAGUCAACAGGACAACAGGAACCGGUCCCUUCCAACGUGGUUCUAGGGUCUUGGGAAUCAAACCUACGAAUAAAAAC
This is a long non-coding RNA of Heterocephalus glaber (naked mole-rat), 345 nucleotides long. NCBI's taxonomy places the organism in Eukaryota, Metazoa, Chordata, Mammalia, Rodentia, Bathyergidae. The record is from Ensembl.